UUUAAUAAAUCAAACAAAUUAUUAGCUAAUAAUCCUUUAUUUAAGAUUAUUAAGCUCAAAUUAAAAUACUAUUGAAUCCAAUUAAAUAAAUUAAGGACCCAACUUAACAAAUUAAUUCCAUAAUCUCAUGUACUCCUAAGGCCCAACACAAUUUAUUAUUACUAAUCCCUUUGAGAUUAAUAGGCCCAAGUACCAGCUUAAACCCAAUUACUAGUUUGAGCCCAAUUAACCAUUUUCAGAUUUAAAUAAAUUAAAAUUAAUAACCUUCUUUAAAACAUAAAACAAGUUAAUCUCUCUCUAUUUUCUAUUUCUUCCCCACGCAGACAUCUCUCCCUCUCUUCGCUCCCUCUCUCGGCCGCCUCUCUCUCCCCCCCUUCUCCGGCGAGCGUCGCCGGCUCGCGCCGCUUCCGGCGCGGCGAGGCUGACGCAUCUUCUCCCCUUCCGCUUUCUUCCCUCUCCUUCCUACAUUUAAUUCCCAAAUUCUAAAAUCAAUUCAACCUAGGGUUUUCAAUCUUCCCCAUCAAUUUUACUCCUCUGGAGAAUCCCGGCGAAUAACGUCGCCGCCGCCCCAGCUCGUCGGAUUUCCGCUCCUCCGUCGUUCUCCCUGCCUCAGGAAUCGAUGAUUCAAGGGAUCUCCAGUUCGUCUACUGCUCAAGAUCCAAUUUUUAUAUGUUACUAUAAACCUAUUUUCCUUUAUUGCUUAUUGUAAAACUGAGAUUUUGAUGGUGAGGAAACAAUACUGUAUCGUUACUAUGCUUAUGUGUAGCUAUGUCUUUUCUGCUGCUCUUGAUUGUUCCUUUUAUACACAAGGAAUUGAUUGAAUUGUAUACAAGAAAA
Molecule: long non-coding RNA, 837 nt
Organism: Salvia miltiorrhiza (redroot sage)
Lineage: Eukaryota; Viridiplantae; Streptophyta; Magnoliopsida; Lamiales; Lamiaceae
Exons: 2
Source: RefSeq, a predicted model, not a curated record